AGAGUCGGCACCUUCAGAUUCUAUCUGUGCCUGUUCAAGACCCAGGCACUUGGUCAUCACUCGCCCUGCAUCACAAGGCUGUUGGCUGCUCUCUGGAAGGAGGUACUAUCUGAUUCGAAUCAGAGUAGAAAGACAAAGUCACUCAAGAGAAUCACCAAAAUAACAUUUUUAACAGAGCAUCCACAAAAGAUGUGUAUUUGUACGUAUCAACAUGCUAAUGGUGGUAAUUAAAACAGUAGAGGUC
Molecule: long non-coding RNA, 244 nt
Organism: Pogoniulus pusillus (Red-fronted tinkerbird)
Lineage: Eukaryota; Metazoa; Chordata; Aves; Piciformes; Lybiidae
Exons: 2
Source: RefSeq, a predicted model, not a curated record